AUGCAUGUCUAAGUACAAGCCUCAACAAGGUGAAACCGCGAAUGGCUCAUUAAAUCAGUUAUGGUUCCUUAGAUCGUACUAUCCUACUUGGAUAACUGUAGUAAUUCUAGAGCUAAUACAUGCAUUCAAGCUCCGACCCUCCCGGGGAAGAGCGCUUUUAUUAGACCAAAACCAGUCGGCGUUGGGGGGGCGACUCCCCUCGCCGUCUACCCUUUGGUGACUCUGGAUAACUUUGUGCCGAUCGCACGGCCACCGAGCCGGCGACGUAUCUUUCAAAUGUCUGCCCUAUCAAGUUUCGACGGUUGGUGACCUGCCAACCGUGCUGAUAACGGGUAGCGGGGAAUCAGGGUUCGAUUCCGGAGAGGGAGCAUGAGAAACGGCUACCACA
RNAcentral lists this ribosomal RNA (388 nucleotides) under Spionidae sp. USNM IZ 1448420. Its description in RNAcentral is "SSU rRNA". It matches the Rfam family "Eukaryotic small subunit ribosomal RNA", at positions 51 to 414 of the family's 1831-position model. The record is from RNAcentral. Lineage: Eukaryota; Metazoa; Annelida; Polychaeta; Spionida; Spionidae. RNAcentral also lists the same sequence under 1 other name.